RNAcentral lists this non-coding RNA (102 nucleotides) under Oceanimonas sp. GK1. RNAcentral describes it as "TPP riboswitch aptamer (THI element)". It matches the Rfam family "TPP riboswitch aptamer (THI element)". From Rfam's summary of the family: Vitamin B(1) in its active form thiamin pyrophosphate (TPP) is an essential coenzyme that is synthesised by coupling of pyrimidine and thiazole moieties in bacteria. The previously detected thiamin-regulatory element, thi box was extended, resulting in a new, highly conserved RNA secondary structure, the THI element, which is widely distributed in eubacteria and also occurs in some archaea. Lineage: Bacteria; Pseudomonadati; Pseudomonadota; Gammaproteobacteria; Aeromonadales; Aeromonadaceae. RNAcentral also lists the same sequence under 1 other name. The record is from Rfam by way of RNAcentral.
ACCAUCUUGUCGGAGUGCCCUUUUGGGCUGAGACCGCGAAAGCGGGAUCCGUUGAACCUGAUCAGGCUAAUACCUGCGAAGGGAAGCAAGUAAAGAACCCGC